Molecule: non-coding RNA, 158 nt
Filed under: Vombatus ursinus (common wombat)
Lineage: Eukaryota; Metazoa; Chordata; Mammalia; Diprotodontia; Vombatidae
Source: RNAcentral
CUGUUGGUGGGGAAGGAGAAAAGGUUAACAUUCUCAUUAAUAAGAAUGGAACAGAUCCUAGUGAUCAUUACAAUAUGCAGUCAAGGCAUUCUUUGUUACAAAGGAGAAUUCUAUAGAGGGUGAUGGGAAGUCACUGGGAAUUACUAGCAACAUUUUUU